UGGUAGGUAAGCGAGAAAUUUGCGAGCGGUUUCGGCCCGUUGUUUGAUAGUGAAAGUCUGUCUCUACUAG
This 70-nucleotide transfer RNA is filed under the name Divia briandi. RNAcentral's name for it is "tRNA-Arg". Lineage: Eukaryota; Metazoa; Mollusca; Gastropoda; Cycloneritida; Phenacolepadidae. The record is from RNAcentral.